RNAcentral lists this long non-coding RNA (511 nucleotides) under Equus asinus (donkey). Its description in RNAcentral is "lncRNA (ENSEASG00005038683.1)". The record is from RNAcentral. Lineage: Eukaryota; Metazoa; Chordata; Mammalia; Perissodactyla; Equidae.
CACGUCUGGGGAAGGCCUGAGGAUGGUCUGUGUCACGUUUGGGAAGACAACCUCAGGGGUUACCUCCACGGCCACCAACUCCAGAGGGCUGUCUGCUCUACACCUCUGCUCAGUCCACUUCUGGCAGGAGCGGAGGACUUCCGUGCCAUACAGAAAGUCUCACUGGAAUUGUGUCUGUUGAAGAACCCCACAUCCUAGCACAGAUUUGGAAGGCUGGAUUCCUUGCUGGCAGCAGUAGGCUCAUCAGAACAGGAGGUCCAGGCUGCCUCUCAAAAUCCAGAGUCAAAAGGAGCAGAGGCAGGUAAGACUUAGACAAAUAGGCCUCAUAAGACCAAGAGGAUUCGAGAACCUCUGCACUCUGAGGAGGGUCACCAUUCCUUGACCUAACAAACCAAGGGCUGCUGGUUACCCCCAGGCUUGUUGCAGGAUCUGAAGGAGCCCGUCUUCAAAUCGCACUAACCUGGGCUCAGGAGGGAGAGCAAAGGACGGAGUACUGAAAUAACUUAUCUGU